UGGGGAAUUUUUGACAAUGGGGGAAACCCUGAUCCAGCCAUCCCGCGUGUGCGAUGAAGGCCUUCGGGUUGUAAAGCACUCUUGGCAGGAAAGAAACGUCAUGGGUUAAUACCCCGUGAAACUGACGGUACCUGCAGAAUAAGCACCGGCUAACUACGUGCCAGCAGCCGCGGUAAUACGUAGGGUGCAAGCGUUAAUCGGAAUUACUGGGCGUAAAGCGUGCGCAGGCGGUUCGGAAAGAAAGAUGUGAAAUCCCAGAGCUCAACUUUGGAACUGCAUUUUUAACUACCGGGCUAGAGUGUGUCAGAGGGAGGUGGAAUUCCGCGUGUAGCAGUGAAAUGCGUAGAUAUGCGGAGGAACACCGAUGGCGAAGGCAGCCUCCUGGGAUAACACUGACGCUCAUGCACGAAAGCGUGGGGAGCAAACAGG
Molecule: ribosomal RNA, 429 nt
Filed under: Acidobacteriota bacterium
Lineage: Bacteria; Pseudomonadati; Acidobacteriota
Description: Acidobacteria bacterium partial 16S ribosomal RNA
Rfam family: Bacterial small subunit ribosomal RNA
Source: RNAcentral